AUCCAUCUGACGAGUUCCACGUAGGACGAAACGCGCAUAUUGGAU
This 45-nucleotide non-coding RNA is filed under the name Schistosoma mattheei. The record is from RNAcentral. Lineage: Eukaryota; Metazoa; Platyhelminthes; Trematoda; Strigeidida; Schistosomatidae.